This 301-nucleotide ribosomal RNA is filed under the name uncultured bacterium. RNAcentral's name for it is "partial 16S ribosomal RNA". It matches the Rfam family "Bacterial small subunit ribosomal RNA", at positions 509 to 807 of the family's 1533-position model. The record is from RNAcentral.
CAGUAGCCACGGUAAUACAAAGGGGGUUAGCGUUGUUCGGAUCUACUGGGCGUAAAGGGUGCGUAGGCGGACUGAUAAGUCAGGGGUGAAAUCCCAAGGCUCAACCCUGGAACUGCCUUUGAUACUGGGAGUCUUGAGUUCGAGAGAGGUGAGUGGAAUUGCGAGUGUAGAGGUGAAAUUCGUAGAUAUUCGGAGGAACACCAGUGGCGAAGGCGGCUCACUGGUCCAUUACUGACGCUGAGGUGCGAAAGCGUGGGGAGCAAACAGGAUUAGAUACCCCUGUAGUCCCUGUCUCUUAUAC